Molecule: transfer RNA, 69 nt
Filed under: Heterocephalus glaber (naked mole-rat)
Lineage: Eukaryota; Metazoa; Chordata; Mammalia; Rodentia; Bathyergidae
Rfam family: tRNA
About the family: Transfer RNA (tRNA) molecules are approximately 80 nucleotides in length.
Source: Rfam by way of RNAcentral
GGGGAUGUAGCUCAGUGGCACAGCGCCUGACUGGCAAUCACAAGGCCUGAGUUCAAUUCCCAGUACCCA